RNAcentral lists this transfer RNA (89 nucleotides) under Bacillus anthracis str. Sterne. Its description in RNAcentral is "tRNA-Leu". It matches the Rfam family "tRNA". From Rfam's summary of the family: Transfer RNA (tRNA) molecules are approximately 80 nucleotides in length. Their secondary structure includes four short double-helical elements and three loops (D, anti-codon, and T loops). Further hydrogen bonds mediate the characteristic L-shaped molecular structure. tRNAs have two regions of fundamental functional importance: the anti-codon, which is responsible for specific mRNA codon recognition, and the 3' end, to which the tRNAs corresponding amino acid is attached (by aminoacyl-tRNA synthetases). tRNAs cope with the degeneracy of the genetic code in two manners: having more than one tRNA (with a specific anti-codon) for a particular amino acid; and 'wobble' base-pairing, i.e. permitting non-standard base-pairing at the 3rd anti-codon position. The record is from RNAcentral. RNAcentral also lists the same sequence under 3 other names. Lineage: Bacteria; Bacillati; Bacillota; Bacilli; Caryophanales; Bacillaceae.
GCGGUCGUGGCGGAACGGCAGACGCGCUAGGUUGAGGGCCUAGUGGGGGAAACCCCGUGGAGGUUCAAGUCCUCUCGGCCGCAUCAAAA